UAGGGAAUCUUCGGCAAUGGACGAAAGUCUGACCGAGCAACGCCGCGUGAGUGAAGAAGGUUUUCGGAUCGUAAAACUCUGUUGUUAGAGAAGAACAAGGACGUUAGUAACUGAACGUCCCCUGACGGUAUCUAACCAGAAAGCCACGGCUAACUACGUGCCAGCAGCCGCGGUAAUACGUAGGUGGCAAGCGUUGUCCGGAUUUAUUUGGCGUAAAGCGAGCGCAGGCGGUUUCUUAAGUCUGAUGUGAAAGCCCCCGGCUCAACCGGGGAGGGUCAUUGGAAACUGGGAGACUUGAGUGCAGAAGAGGAGAGUGGAAUUCCAUGUGUAGCGGUGAAAUGCGUAGAUAUAUGGAGGAACACCAGUGGCGAAGGCGGCUCUCUGGUCUGUAACUGACGCUGAGGCUCGAAAGCGUGGGGAGCAAACAGG
Molecule: ribosomal RNA, 429 nt
Filed under: Chloroflexota bacterium
Lineage: Bacteria; Bacillati; Chloroflexota
Also listed under: 1 other name
Description: Chloroflexi bacterium partial 16S ribosomal RNA
Rfam family: Bacterial small subunit ribosomal RNA
Source: RNAcentral